This 107-nucleotide small nucleolar RNA is filed under the name Sorghum bicolor (sorghum). RNAcentral's name for it is "Plant small nucleolar RNA R71". It matches the Rfam family "Plant small nucleolar RNA R71". Rfam says of the family: R71 is a member of the C/D box family of snoRNAs containing the C (UGAUGA) and D (CUGA) box motifs. Lineage: Eukaryota; Viridiplantae; Streptophyta; Magnoliopsida; Poales; Poaceae. The record is from Rfam by way of RNAcentral.
AUUCCAUGAUGAGGACAGGCAAAAAUGUACUCCUAGAGACACUCCCAUGCUUUAGAAAUUGUCUCAUUAGCUUGCUAUUGGAAGCUCGAGAUAUUACCAUGAAGGGC